CUGGAUGAGUGGAAUGUGAAUGUGGAGGACAUCAGGACAAACUACUUGUUGGGCUGCGUCUCUGACACUGAAUCGGGUUGAAAUGUGAAUGAGAACAUGCAGCCAAAUUUAGUAGUAGUUCUCAUGGAAAUAAAAUCAUCAUAUGAUAGAACUGCCAUAUGUAAAAUUCUCUCAAAGUAGCCCUCUACUAGGAACUUGAUGUUGUUGGAUAAACUGUCGGAGCAAAUAACCUGAAAAAUUUACAAUUGAAAAAAGGAUAAAUGCUAGCUGAGUUUUCUGUAGCCGGGAUUUUUUACUCAAAUUUACCAGAACUGUAAUAAAUUUCUUUGGUUAGUGGUGAACAUUAGAUUUCUUGGGAUCAGUAUUCCAUCAAUGUGAUCUCUUCAGCGCUCUCUUCCCCUCUUACUACAUAUUUUCUGUGUGAAACCCAUAAAUACAGCUAUUGCUGAACUCUUUGGUAACUUCUUUUUCCCCUCUUUUCAUCUGAAAGAUAUUGAAGACAAUUGAAAUCAUAACCAUUUUCUUCUUGAUGUCUGUGAUGGAUAUAUGUUCUUUUGUAUCUAUAAAUGCUUGCCACUAUAAUUGAUUGGUGAACUUUGAUAACUGUCACAACAUUGACAAUUUGGAUUGGUUAAACAAUGAUACGGAACUCUUUGAGUUUUCUGUCCUUUCCUGAGUUUUUUUGUUGUUUAUUUUUAGUGAUAGCUUACGUGGAUACAUUUUCAUGAACAGAAAAGCUGGUUGAAGAGCAGAGAAAGUUUGACGCAGUGAUUGCUUUAGAGGUAUGCACUCUUUGGACAACUACGUCUCUCUCUCACUCCCUCCAUUUGUCUCUAUUGGUUGUUUAAAGACUGCUACAUUUUUUAUUUUGGUGUAAUAAUGAUGCACUCAUUACUGCUAAGAGCAUUUUUAUGGACUAUUCAAGAUUCAAGUUAUCUAGCGUUUCACAUACCUUGGUCAUUUGCUAAUUCUUUAUAUACUUUUCGUUGUAAAUUUGUGUUGUUUUUUUUUUGGUAAAUUAUUAACUUUUACUUAAGGUGAUUGAGCACGUAGCAGAUGCUGCUGAAUUCUGCAAGUCUCUCUCAGCAUUAACUGCUCAUGAAGGAGCAACUGUUGUUUCAACAAUUAACCGCUCUAUGAGAUCAUAUGCAACUGCCAUUGUUGCAGCAGAAUACCUGCUACAGUGGGUAUGAUUCUGUCAAUACCAACACUUUAUUUAUUUUUCUAUUUCGAUAUGUAAUUAUGUAUCUGUUCUAUACAAAUGCCUUGUAGAGAUUUAACCCUUACUUUUAGGAUUUCUUUUCGUAUUCACAUCUUGUUUGAAAUUUGAUCUAAUUGGGAUCUUAUUUCCAUACUUUUUCACAUCUACAUUUUUUAAUUCAUAGGCUAAAAUGUUGAACAUGGGUUUGAAGUUUUGUCUACACAAUAUUACAAAUAUAAAAUUCCAAUGAAAUAGUAUUGUUCAGAACUUGGAUUCAGUGUCCUUCAAAUCAUGUAGGGGACCUUGUAUUGAAACAGAUUAGCAUUGUAAGGAGAAAUUGACAUGUGAAUACAUGUGUAGCUAUUGUCCCUGAAACUAGCUAAGAUUACCUCCAAAAAGAAAAUAGAAACCAUUCCUUUUUUUAUAAUUUUAAAAAACAGUUAGUUCUAAGAUAUGCUUUGUAACUCAAUGUCUGUCGAUUCUAUGCAGCUACCUAAAGGUACACAUCAAUGGUCGAGUUUCCUGACCCCAGAAGAACUCACCAUGAUUCUAAAACGUGCAGGGGUUGAUGUAAGCAAACCAAGCAAUCCCUUUGAUAUCUGAAACUGAACUAACCAUUGUGCGUUAUGACUAACCUCUGCGCUGCUGAAUUGUUGGGUGAAUAGGUGAAAGAGAUGGCGGGAUUUGUGUACAACCCUUUAACAGGGAGAUGGUCACUAUCGGAUGAUAUUAGUGUAAAUUUUAUUGCUUAUGGUACUAAGGAAAAGUAAUGAAGAAUAGGGUUGUUGAGGUGUGCCAGACUGGAACAACGUAGCGCCGCAAAUUCGUUUUGAGUGAGCCUCAUUUGAUGAGGCACACAUCUAGUGCGCCCACUCUCCCUUUUUGAAAGAUGGUAUGCGCAUAAUGAAGUUUUUUUUUUUUUUUAUUAAAUCACAUGGUUGGAGUUCUCUAAUGUAUCUUUAUUUUUUGAUUUGUUGUAUUGUCAAACUUUCGAUUUUGUUUGUAAUGUUUUUGAGUAUUUAACAAUAAACAUGCGACUAUAAGGAAAUAUUCAAAUAUUCGAAAUAGGUGCAGAUCUUGGUGGAUUUCCUUGUGUCAAGCUAAUAUUUAAAGUCAAUGACAUUUUAAUGAUGGAAAACAAUAUAACUAUGUUGUAGACUAGAACGGCUCGAUUUUCCAUGAAAGAUUCGAUAGAAGUAGUCUAUGUUUUAGGAAUUAAGAUUUAUAGAGAUAGAUUAAAAAGGUUGCUUGGACUCUCGCAAUCUAUCUUACGCAUAGAAGAUGCUACAAUGGUUUGACAUUGAAUCAAAUCAAAGAAUGUAGGUGAAAACAUCUUUGGCAAGUGUCACCGGUGGAUGAAAGCUCACGACGAAUGUUCACGGAAUAUUUUAUGGAUGUCAACUAAUGAGUUGACUCUAUUCAUGGAAAAUAUAAAAAAAGUUCAUCUACUUGAAGCUUAUUGAUUAGUAAAAUAUCUAAAUGUAUAGACUGUAAUUCAGGAAAUUCAAUUAUAAAUAGAGACUUUCUCUUCAUUUGUAGUCACUUAAUCGUAAUUUAUUUAAAAUAUUUUAUAUGCAUUGUUUUUUUUGUGACAUUUUUUAUUUUUUGCUGCUUUUCUUCUUUGGGGUUUGUUUUCGUGUCAAUAAAUCAUUUAAAGUGGCACAACUUACCAGACUAACAAUCACAUUCCACUGAGGAAGCAUAAAGGGAUACUGGAUUGAAUUUCCUAGCACCUGCUCCUCUAAAGCGAUGAAGUUGGGAUCAGAGGUAAGGGUAGUUCUUUCACACAAGUGACCUAAGAAUGCUUGUAGUAACAACUGAUGGUUCCCUAACAUGCUUUGUUAUUGAUGUUUGUGUCGAAACAGUGCUACUUUUUGGAUUAGAAAUUUUACUCACAGUCAUGGCUACUAGUAGCGAAAGGUCCUGCACCCCUUCUUCCAAACUUCAUACCUCUAUGACUGUAAAACAAGCAGUGCAUAAACUUGGGUUAUAUCGCAAGAAUGUUUCUUUCAUUACUAAAGACAAGAGUAAGCUUCAUACGAUUUCAAUUAACCCUUGGGCACUUUCCCUUUAAUAUUUCUAUUAAACUAAACAUCACUUCUACUUAAUCUAAAUCAAUUUUCACUUAUAUUUCAAUCGCAUAAACAUUUAACUUAUUAUCAACCGACAGAUCUUGUAAAAAAUAUACCAAUGAAGCAUGACAAUCAAAGUGAGUCAACGAUUAAUCAAUUCAAAUUUUUAAAAAGAAAUUAUAAACAUUUCAUUUCUAAAAUGUUAUAAAAAAAACAAACAAAAUAAUUAAUCAAUGUAUCAAUGAUAAAUUAUAGAUGGAUCAACUCCAAUCCACAUGAAUGUCAUAUUGACAAAAUAAGAUAUCACCAAAUGGAUGCAACAAAAUUGAGACUUGUACUCAAAGAGCUCAGUUUUCCAGUCUCCUAUGGCUCUCAAUCUUCGCCAGAAACAAACAGGUAAUUUUCUGUUUUGAUCUCUCUUCUUCCGUUUCCCCUAAAUUACCAGUACCCCCAUUCCAUUUCUCUUUCUAGAUUUCAUGUAAAUGCAGUUGCAUCGAACUCUCAUUUUGACCCUGUUACAAUUUUGUUAACUUUGAUAUGUUCUUUGAAUGUGAAUCUAUCAAAGUAGCGUUAUUCUACCGAUUUUUUUGUUAAAUUUUAUAACCUUUCGGAUUUAGUUUCGUCUGAUUCUUCCUUUACUGGGCGGUUGAAUUUGAUCUGUCAUUUUGGAGCUUUGAUCGUAUUGGCUGUUUUGGUUUGCUUUUACAGAAUGUAUAAUCCGAAUGCUUAAUCUGAAUCAACCUGUGAAUUCCACUGGAACUGCUAAUGAUGAGGUUUACAAGAUUUUGAUUUAUGACAAAUUUUGUCAGAAUAUACUGUCCCCUUUGAUACAUGUCAAGGAUCUUCGAAAACACGGUGUUACACUAUACUUCCUUAUUGACAAAGAUCGAAAACCUGUCCAUGAUGUACCAGCUGUCUACUUUGUUCAGCCUAAUCAAUCUAAUAUCCAGAGAAUCGUAGCCGAUGCUUCGCGUUCUCUCUAUGAUAGUUUCCAUUUGAAUUUCUCUGCGUCUAUACCAAGGCCGCUUUUGGAGGAUCUGGCUUCUGGGACUUUGAAUUCAGAUUCAAUCCAUAAGAUUUCGAAGGUUCAUGAUCAGUAUUUGGAAUUCGUGUCAUUGGAGGAUAAUUUGUUCUCAUUGUCCCAGAAGUCUACGUAUGUGCAAUUGAAUGAUCCAUCAGCAGGGGAUAAAGAGAUCGAGGAUAUUAUAGAGAGGAUUGUUAGUGGAUUAUUUUGUGUUUUGGCUACACUGGCUGUGGUUCCCAUAAUAAGAUACCCGCGCAGUGGACCGGCAGAGAUGGUUGCUUUGGCAUUGGAUCAGAAGUUGAGGGAUCAUUUGUUGUCAAAGAACAAUUUGUUUUCUGAAAGUGGGAGUUUUGCGAGCUCAUUUCAGCGUCCGAUUUUGUGUAUGUUUGAUAGGAACUUCGAGUUGUCGGCUGCCAUACAACAUGAUUUUAGGUACUGCCCACUUGUACAUGAUAUUCUUAGAUUGAAGCUUAAUAGGUUGAGUGUGCCAGGAGAGAAAGGUAGAAUGAAAUCAUACGAGCUGGAUAGGUCAGACCCAUUUUGGAUGGCGAAUGGAUCAUUGGAAUUCCCUGAAGUUGCUGUUGAGAUUGAAACCCAGUUGAACACAUAUAAGAAAGAUGUUGAUGAGGUGAAUAGAACUGGUGGGACUGCAGGAGCAGAGUUUGACGGGACAGACUUGAUUGGGAACACGAAGCACUUAAUGAAAGCAGUGAACUCCCUGCCUGAACUGACCGAACGGAAGCAGGUCAUUGAUAAACACACAAACAUUGCAACAGUGCUCUUGGGUGAAAUAAAGGAGAGAUCUCUUGACUCUUAUGUAAAGAAGGAGAAUGAUAUGAUGCUGAGAGGUGGCAUUUACCGAAAUGAGUUGCUGGCUGUACUUAAGGGAAAAGGUACCAAGAUGGAUAAGCUGCGUUUUGCUAUAAUGUAUAUUAUCUCUUCCGAAACCAUUAAUCCAGCAGAAGCAGAAGCAGUGGAAGCAGCAAUAGUAGAAUCUGAGGUUAAUACAAGUGCAUUUCAGUAUGUAAAGAAGAUCAAGACAUUGAAUGUUUCAUUGGCGUCUGCAAAUUCUGCUAGUAGAAAUAACAUUGUUGAUUGGGCUGAGAAGCUCUAUGGCCAGUCAAUUAGUGCUGUCACGGCAGGUGUGAAGAACCUAUUAUCUAGUGAUAGACAGUUGGCUUUGACCAGGACUGUGGAAGCAUUGAUGGAGGGGAAACCAAACCCUGAAAUUGAUUCUUACCUUGUAUUUGAUCCUCGUGCCCCUAAAUCGAGCUCUGGAACUAGUAGUAGCCAUCUGAAAGGACCCUUUAAAAAGCUAUUGUGUUCAUGAUUGGUGGUGGAAGUUUAGGGGAGUAUGGCAGCUUGUAAGACCUUGUCCAGCAUCAGCAACCUGUCAAGCAUAUUAUAUAUGGAACAACAGAAAUUUUAACCGGAAUGGAGUUUGUUGAGCAACUCUCACUGUUGGGGCAGAAGAUGGGAUUGGGCAAUUCUGUUGCUACUUCUUCAGCAAGCCAUUAAUGCAGCCUGUUGUUUAAUUUGCAGAGCCUACAAUUCGCUGGUCAAGUGCAUAAAGAAGGCAGCAUCAUGCAAAAUGGGGAUAACAUGCCAUGUUACCAAGUAAACGCAGAUCCGAAGGUGAUUAUCUGAGCAUCCAUGCCUUAAUUUUCAGAGCCUACAAUUCGCUGGUCAAGUGCAUAAAGAAGGCAGCAUCAUGCAAAAUGGAGAUAACAUGCCAUGUUACCAAGUAAACGCAGAUCCGAAGGUGAUUAUCUGAGCACCCAUGCCUUAUUUUUUCUUGCUGGUUUCAAUCGUGAUUUGAACCUUCAACUAACUAGAAGAACAUAUAUUUUUGUUCCAUUACAGUGAGUUUAACAUGAUUCAUUUGUGUAAUUUUGUAAUUGUAUUCUUGGAAAAAUGUCAGGAACUACGUAUUGUGCGUUUAACAUGAUUCAUUUGUGUAAUUUCUUUCCUGAUUGGUGGUGUGAAUGCACAUGCUCAUGGUUAUGGCAAUAAAUUUUGAUUACUGGAUUGGAUCAACAAAAUCAUUUGUCUCAAUAAAAUCCAUUUUUGGACACGACAAUAAUUUAUAUUCUCAAACAAUAUAUCAGCUCUAGAUUAGCAAAUCACUGAUUAUAUUUCCCUUCUGACAAGGAGAAGAAAUCACAGAAUCAAUUCACAGUAUCCUUUAGACUCCUUUUAUGUUUGAAUUUAUUAUGCAAAAAUAUAAGUCACAAAUUAAAUUUGAAGGCAAUUAAGAGUAACACGAAUGAUUUUCAAAGAUUAGUCUCCAAUAUACAAGACCAAAAUAACAGAACACAGAGUAUGAACAUAUGAUAUAAAAAGAACUCAUCUUCUGUUUCUAGGUGUUGCUAAAUUUUGCAACUGGAAAUUCCUUAGUCGAGAUUAGAUACUUAAAAAGUAGUCAACCCAUGAACCGUCAUCAAGCAGUUGUGUCAGGGAUCUAGGAGAAAUAGUGCUGGUUCAGUUUUUGCUGCAUAUCCAAACUUGUAUGAACUAUACUUUCUAUGUACUCCCUUGAGUUUUCCGGAUCCUGCUUUCUGAUGGUAAGUAACCAUCAACUUUGAACAUUCCCUGUUGACAUGCAUGACAAAAGCAUCCUUCAUUAGUGUUCUACACAAAGGUCAAAUAAAGCUAGGAAAGCCUAGCAAUCCAAAUAUAAUAACUUACAACAGCUGAUCUUCUGUGUAUUUAGUAUGCCACUCACUGGUCUUUGUCCAGUUCUUGAACCGGAAAAGACUGCACUGUGCUGUGUAAAUUGCUGCAGCAGCUAGCAGAGAUGGCUGAAACUUGAGCAUUUCAUAUUCAACCAUGCACAACUCAAUCAGGAAGAACGAGAGAAAUUCAAGCUGGUAUGCCACAGGGUAAUGUAUAUAUCUUAUCAGUUUUUUUUUCCUUGUGUGAGGCUUAACUAACAAAAAAGGUUUAACAAACAGUAAUCCAUUAUGAAUUAUCUACCUUUUUCUCAGAUUGGGCUGCCUUGAGAAAUCUCCUCAUGAAAACAUAUGGAGUUGGCACAGACAUGUGGAAUUGUAAAGUGUUCACCAUUAAUUUCUCCUAGAAACAUAGAGAUUACUAUUAAAUAUGUCUAGAGAAAUGCAAGGAAAAUACAGGACUGCUGUAGGAAAUUACCAUAUCUAGAACAUCCUUCCUGGUAUAUGCUUUAUCUGAAAUCAGAACAAAGUCCUCCACUAUUGGGACAGAAACUUCCUCAUACUUGCAUGCUAAUAACAUGGCUGUCAUGCCAACCAAUUGAAGCUUCUUUCGGAUCACAGUGCAACGCUCUAAGAAUCUGUCUAUGAGAUUGAUUGUAAGGAGCAAUGUUUCUUCCAUAAGAUCAAAUUUGUAGUGAACCUGCUCAAAAUGAUAUUGUUAGUAAUCUCUAGACAUACCUUGAACAACAAUUAAGUACAAAUUUUUCAAGUCAAUAGUAGUAGCACAUCUUUCCAAUGAGACAGUUCUACUGCAUGCAAAGUAUAUUCUUGAUUGCUGCACCCUAAUUGCCUUGAGGAAAAAGAAAACAAACUAAGGUUAGACCAUACCUCAAUGAGCCAAUCAAUGAGGAUGGCCCUCAUCUUCUCAUUGAUGUCAAAUUGCCUGUCCAUGUAAUUUGGAGAAACACAGGAAGAAACCUGCACAAAUGAACCCUAAAUAAGUAACUCAAAAGACCAAUAAUUCCAAAGAAUGUUUCUCCACCUACUCUGCCAUAAAUUGCCUCAUUGGCAAAUUUAAAUCAAAGCUUACCUCAGUUUUCUUGUAGUAAGCAUAGAUGUCAUCUACAUACUCAACAACUGCAAGUGGAUCUUUUGAAUCACUGCAGUCAAUAUCAAUGAUAGAGUUCUCCAUAUCUUCCAUUUCAAUGUCCUAUAUAUUGUUCAAUAUAAAGAUGAUGUAGUAAUCAUGCUGCUUUGCCUUCCCAAAAAAUAACCAUUUUCAAUAGUUAAUAAAUACACAUACCAUUUCAUCAGUUUCAUCUAAGACUGCCUCUGUGUGUUUCACAAACAUAGGGAGUGUAACAUCAUUACCCUCCCCACACUGUUCCACAUCAACGGUUUCGAAAUCGUCUAGACCACCGGGCUUCACUGUCAACUCACUUUGGUUCUUAGCUUCCUACAAUACAUUCAAUCCAACAAUUUCUAUUUAGUUUCCUAUGGUUUUGGUUUCUACAGUGAUUUGAAGUUGCUUAACAAAUAGUUUAAUGGAAAUCAUAAAGCUUCCACAAUAUGUGGUCAGUGUAGAUAGUACUUCUAGGAAGUGAUGCUGGUUGCUAACCCUUUCAACAGCCAAACUCCUAAACAUAUAAAAAAGAAAUUUUAAGUUUUUGAAGCAAAAUUUACCCAAAAAAAAAAAAAACAAAGAGGUCAAAGCAUAAAGGACAGAAAAGCAAAAAACAAAGAGCCAACUAGAUAGAACCUAGUGUCUGAUCUUUGUUCCAGAGCUGAUUUCUUAUUGCAAAUUUCAUCUUUCCUGUGUAAGACACAACUCAAGUCAAUCCCAAGAUGUACAAAGAAAACUGUAAUAAUGGAGCUUGGAAUUUUGACAGUUGAAAGUACCCUGGAAGUUCUCUUUUAUUAACCACACCAGAGUGGUGGAGUGAAGCUCCUAUAAUGUUCUGAUUGAUGCUACUCAGUGCCCUUCUUUGAUUUUGUUCCAUGUCCUUUACCAUCUUGGCACCACCCAUUCUCUGCCCAUCUUUCAGUUUACAAAAGAUUCCAAUAAGAACAAAAGGGAAAAAAAUAUUCAUGAAAAAUGGAACAAGUGUACAGGUAGUGUAGAGUAGCAAGGAGCUCGAUGUCCCUUAUGCAAGGUCUCGAGUUCCUGCAUUGAGAGAAUUUGAACCUACAAAUGGGAUCCGACCUAACUCCACUCUGGACUUAGUCAGGACUGAUCAUAUGAUAAAAGAGACUUACCAUUUGGUGCUGCAAUUGAACCUGGAUUGUUCUCCUUUGAUCUUCUCAUUCUUUUGUUCUUUUGUUUUUCUUUAAGACUAAAAAACCCCACUUCCAAGACCCUUCAAGAGAACCAAGAAUAUCAAACAAACUUUAGAUUCAUUGGAAAAAAACACCCAUUUUCUAAAAGAAUUAAAUGGAAGAAAAAAUAAAGAAAACUAAGCUAACUUGAUCACCUCCAAUUAAACGAAACUGUAAAAUCAUGAAUUUUUCAAACUAAAACAAAUCCUUAAUUUUGAUAUUGAAAACAAAAAAGAAGGGGAGACGAGACAAACCCCCAGUGAUUAAGCCUUGUAUCUCUCUCUUUAUCUCUGUUUGAUGAAAAGGAAAGGAAAAGAAUUAGGAAAGAGCCAACAAGUGGUGUGUGUUUUUGCACAUUGAUCCUUCUUUUUAUUUGAAACCUCAACGGCUAGUAAAUGGUUACCGUUGGAUGUAAAUAAAAUUGAAAAAAAAAAGUCACGAUGGUUCAUUGGACUAUUAAAAUUACGCCACGUUGUUAAAAGCCUUUUCGGCUAAGUGGGGUCUGGAUCGAACCCAGGAGCUUAAUAUCGAGCCCUGCUUACGCUCUUCUCCACUAUAAAAGAGCUGAGAAGUCGGUUUUUGUCAAAUUAUCACUUUCGUCCCUUUACUAUGUUCAUGUUUGAGAUAGGUCCCUAUACUUUAUGGCAAUAUCUGGGUUUUGGACUUUUGGUUCACUCGGCCCCUCGUGUCUUUUAAGGUUCGAAAAUGUUUUUAAUAUAAUGAAUUAGAAAAAUUAUUGUUUUUAUUUUUAUAUUUAUAAAAUUAAAACUAAAUAAAAACAUAUUUAUUAUUUAAGUCCAACUUCACCAAAUUUAUCAAAAGUCUCAUCUGAUUCCAAUCUAAAUUCCGUUGAAUGAGAUCGAUAAUUCAAUUUAAUUGAAUCCCUGGAUUAAACCAAUAAUAUGAUUUUUGGAUAGGUUUAAUUUCGCAUAAUUAUUUAUGUGGCUCUCUAAUUUUAUUAAAAAAAUCAUUUUAGCCCCCAUUUGAUUUUUCACAUCUUUUAGCUUUUGAACUAGCAUUUUUUGUUAAAUCAUCUCAAAAUUGAUGGAAAAGUUAACGUUUUUUUUUUUUUUUUUACUUUGCCGAUGUGGCAUAAACGUGGAUGACACAUCAGCAUUUAAUUAAAUUUUAAAAAUAUAGAAAAAUAUAGAAAAAUAAAAAAUCAUUAAAUUAUUUAAAAAAGUAUAAAAAUAUUUUAAAAAUUUUAAUUAAAUGUUGACAUGUUAUGUUAGCAAAGUUAUCGUUAACUUUUUCAUCUAGUUUGAAUGAUUGAACAAAAAAAUAUAUGUUCAAAAACUAAAAGAGACGAAAAAUUAAAUAAAAUGUUAAAAUAUAUUUUUUAAUUGAAUUAAGUAAUUUUAUUUGUGCGUUGUUCAACAAAUUUAUGAGAUUAGAAUUUAGAGGAACAAAAAAAUGUCUAAAAUAUUGUUAGUUAAAAUAUAAUAUGCAAGUCUUAAAACACUUGCAAAUAAUAAAAAUUUAUUACUAAGAAUUAUUAAAUCGUGUAAGAAUACUACAGUUAUUAUUAUGUAAUUUAUGUUCCAAAUCUUGUAAUAAUUUUUUUCUAAAAUAAACAUUUUAUUUAACUCAUAAAAGGAAAUUAGCCAACUAAAUUAUUAGUCUAGCGAUAAAAAAAUUAAUAUAAGAGAUAUUAUACUAAAGGUGGACUUGCGGUUAAUGUAAAAAUAAAUUAAAUGUACCACCCAUACGCUCAUUCAAAUUUACCGUAAAUUACUUGACAUUAAAAAAAAAAAAAAAGGGGGAAAAAGGAUAAUUAAUUGGAGUUAAGAAGGGAUGAGUGUAGAAAUAUAAAUAAAAUAUGAAGGUGAAGUAAACUUCAUUGAUUGAUUCUAUAUUCUUAUAUUACGUAAAGGAAGAGGCAAAAUGAGCUGGCACCAUUAUUUGAUUCUCAGCUCCAACUUUAGUUUUAAUGGCGGCCCCAUUCCAACGGAAAUGGUGGGGAGAAUGAGGAAGAAGCCUUGGAUAGGAUCCCCCACCCACGCCCACUGUGCAGGCAGCCCUUCUUCUUGCGUUCAAACCUACCUAACGCAAAUCGCCUCACCCUCCCUUCUUCUUCUCUGCAUCUUGUAGUUCGGGACACCCACGUUCCUUUUUCUUUUUUCUUUUUAAUUAAUUUUUAAAUCAGAUCAAAAAAUAAGACUUAGUUGACAAGGCGAAGUCAGAAAUUUUAGAAUUAAAUUAUAUAUUUUUAUAAUAAUAAAAAUAUAAUUUUAUUAUUUUAAUAGUUUAUAUUUUUAUAAUUUUUAAUAGAUUAAAUUAAUUUUUUAUUAUUUUAAAAUUUCAUAAAUUAUAAAAAAUCUAAAUAAAUUUUUUUUUUUGCGAGCCCACAUAUUUGUAGCAUAAGUUUUAAUUUCAAUUUCAAUUCUACGUAACUUAAAAAGAAAUAUUAGAUUGACAACCCUCAUUUUUAUUGUUAUUAAUAUUUCAUACACUAUAAUCGUGAAUGAGGAUAUAACAUGAAUUAACAAAAUUCUUUGCAAAAAAGUUAAAUAAUACUAACAAUUAAGAUGUUAAAUUUGUAGUUGCUUUAGUAUUGUUAUAUCACUAUAAUCCGACUCUAAAUUUGAUUCGGGGUCCAAUCCGAUUUAAUAAAAGUCGACACACAUCUCAAAAGGGAGGGGGCUUUCUUUUUCCUCUAAUUUAACCACUCAACUCUAUCUUAUUCCACAACUGUUGAUCUGGUAUAGCAACAAGUAUGAAUAGAUUACGUAAAAAAAAUUAUUAGAGGAUAUUAAAUUUAAAUUUCAAAUUUAUUUAGGUAUUAAUUUUAGGGUAAGAUAAAUAAUUCCUAAUAUUUAUCAUUGUUAAAAGAUCUUAUAGAUUGCAAUCCAAUCUAAGUAUCAUGGCACCGAAAUUGAGACUCAACAUAUUACUUUACCUUUUAAUUUAUCACAAUUUUGUCCCUACUUUAAAAAAGUUUUAAUGUGGUACCUCUAUUUUUAAUUUAUUUAAUGAUUUUUAUUUAGCCUAUCAAUGUGAUGCUUUUAUUUAACGGUGUUAAUUUCUGAUACCAUUUGACAUGUAACCUAAUGAUAAGCUGUCAAGUGUCAUUUUCAUCGGAAUUUUUUUAUGUCAGAAUAUGCUAACAGUCUCAACUUAAAUAAUCCAAACAAAUAAAUAAAACAUUUAAACCUCAAAAAUCAUUUAACAUUUAAACAAUAAUUAAAUAAAAAUUCAAAAUUUGAAAAUCCCCGAAUUUCAUCAUGUUCUACAUCUCAACUACAAUUUCAACAUUUUUAUCAUGUUAAAUUCAGUUUUCUUGUACUAAAUUUACACUUUUAGUACAUUUUUCAUAAAUUUUCAAUUUAAUUUUCACUAAAAAUUCACUAUUCAUUCAUUCUUGUCCAAUUCAAUUUUUUUACGCUGCUAUUAUUAUUCAAUCGAUAAAUUUUUAUUUUUGAGAAAAUUUGCUAUUUAUCUUUCGAAAUACUGUUAUUAGUGACACUACAAUUUUUAAGGUGUUACACUUCUCUUCCAACUCCCUUUCGGGCUUCCCUUAAUCCUCAAACAAUGACUUUUCUCAAGUAAACCUAGGUCGAUUAAAAUGAGGAAGUGUAACAAAAACUCAAUUUUUCAAAUCCAAUAAUCUCAAUGGAGUUAAAUGAAAUAAAAAAAUUGUUGAUUUCUAAUUUGUUAAACAAAUUAAAGCAAAAAAUAAAAACCUAGAAAUCGUUAUUCCCAAAUCCCAAUCUAGUUAAGCAAAUUAAAACAAAAAAUAAAAAACCCAACAAUUGAGUUAAGCAAAAACCCUCUGAUUUUUUUUUAUUUCCAAUUUGUUAAAUAAAAUAAAAACAAAAAAAAUCGUUGAUUCCUUAAUCCCAAUCGAGUUUCCCAAAAUUCUGAAAAAUUAGCUAUUGGGAUGAAUCAUUCUUAUAGCUCAAAGGGAGCUCUUUGCAUGGUGAAUGACACUGAUUGAGAAGAAACAAUGAGCAAAGGAUUUAAGAAAAGCGAGAAAAAUAUGUUAGAGAAUAAAGAGAAGAAAAUUUGAAGAAAUAAAUCAUUCUUUUUACUGGCAAAAAGAACAAUUUUUAUUUUUAUUUUUUACUUUUGGCUUUUAAAAAAAAAGGAGAAAUUUUUUUUAAGUCCUCUUUUUAACCGUUUAAGUUGGGUUUGAUGUGCUUUUAUCUUCAACGAAUGGCCUAGCAUUCAAUGCGGGUCAAAGCAUACGGUUGCCUGGCUGGUUAAAUGUUGUUAAUGAAUCUUCUACUUAUUUGAUGGAAUGGUUAAGAGAUUAUCUAUAGUUAAACUCUUCAUAACUUAUCAAUGGGUAUAACCUAUUUGGUAUGAAUAGUUUAUCAGCCUAGGCGUGGAUGUUCUUAUUUGGACAUCUUACGGAUUUAUGUUCUUAAUUUAUUGGCGCGGAUAUUGGUAAGAAUUGAUUGAAAUUGUAGUGCUUCAAGUUUUUGUGGCUUAUCUUCAAUUAAUAAUUUAGGAGAUCUCAUAUAGAUUAUCACCUGAAUUAGAUUCAGUCUUUUUUAAUCUCUAUAUUGCAAUUCCCUCGACACCAUAAAAGAGUCUCAUAUUUUUUGUACAUAAUUCUUGAUACAGUCUUUUUUUUUUUUUUUAUCUUCUUAUAGACCUUUGAAAUACUUUUUAGAUUGUGAAAACUAAAGAGAAUGAUGACUUUGGGUUGUACCAAGUUUGAAACUAAGUGGAUUUAUUUUUUGUCCUAUAAUCCUCCACUACUAUAUAUCAGGAUAUCAUUGACCCAAAGUGCCACGUGUCAUUCUUUCAUUGGAACAUGUGUCAUUUUGCAUCAGAAAUUAAUACCGUUAAAUGAGAGUACCAUAUUGAUAGACGGAAUAAAAGGUCAGAUACCACAUUAGACAAAUUGAAAGCAAAGGGACUAUAUUGAAAAUUUUGUUAAUGUACAAAGGAAUUUUUUGCAAUUAUCCCUUUCAUAAAAUAUGAAUAGUUAACUUUUCAAUUUUAUAAAAUAGAGAAAUUUAAUUUUUUUGUUCAAAGGUUUCCCGUUGACUUUGUGAAUUGUUUUAAUGAGCACAAAUCAAGACAAUGAUGGUAAAAGAUUCAACUCUCAAUCGAAAUUUGGGUGUGAAUUUUAUUAAACUAUAACAAAAUCAAGUAAAUUUCAUAUCUAAACCAAUCUCAAAUAUUACUAACUUAGAACCCCUUUUUUGCCAAAUUAAAGUUUUGGGAUUUUUAUAUGACAGUUUGUCAAUUUAGAUGGAUGAAAUCCAAUCAAAUAAUGAUGUACCUUCAUGAUGAUUUCCCGCUGUUCCCUACUUUUGUUUUUGCACCAAAAAUUCAUAACCAUCCGUGAUAUUAUCAACCCCUCAAUUUCAAGUUGUUGUUGCUCGAAGAUAAAAAUAAAUUUAUAAGAAAUUAGCUCAACGGCUAUUUAUAUUUUGUAUUGACAAAAAUAAUUCACUGAGUAUUGAGCGGAGCAUAGCAAUGAUAUCAAUUCUUAUAAAGAAUUUUUACUGUAAUUUUUUAUAGAAUAAUCUAGGAAUAUAAAAUAUGAUGGGAGAAAUAAAAAGAGACCUUGUUUCUAUGGUUUUAGGUGUGUCGUACAAAUGAAAUUUUGCUCUUAUAAAUAGUGACAUAAUUAUUUAAUAGAAAUAGUACCAACUUUUAAUUAUUGGUAACUUUUCAUUUAAAGUUAGCAGAUAUAAUGAAUAUAUUCAGUAUUGGAAAAAUAUAAGUUCAUCAACAAAUGGUUAGGUGUAAUAAUAAGGAGAAAAGAACUUAAAUUAGAAUAUUAGAGAUAACAUUGUUAGAAAGAACAAUCAUAAACUCGGGAGAAGAGGAUGUUAAACAUGAGGGAGUUGAUAAAAAGGGAAAGGAAAUUCCGAAGGUUUGAAUGAGUUGGAGAUAGAGAUGUAGAGCGUGGGUCAGUUUGUAAAACAGGAUUUGCACGUGAAUACGCGUCACAAUGUCAAAAAACCGCGUGAACUCCAUUAUUUCCCUUUUCUUUUUGUCUUUGACCUUGGUAUCUCAAUAUUUAGCAUUAGAUUCAUUUGAUUUUAGUUAAUUUAUUCGAUAUUAUUAUAUAAAAAUAAGAUCUUCAAAUUUUGAUUAAUACUGGUUCAUGUUCUAACUCAAAAUCUUCAGUAAAAAAAAAAUCAAAAUUUUAUCAUUGGCAAUAAGAGCAUUACUGUUUGCUUUCAAUUACAUCUUUUUUGCUGAUUCCAAUUUUAGUAAACCGGAAAUCCCGCGAACUAACCGUUAUUAAUCAUCCUCAUCAAUAAAACCGCCAAAUUAAAAAAAGAAAAUGACCAUGUUCAUUGUAUUAAUGCUCACACUAUCAGCUGACACACCCCCUUUUUUUUUCUUUUUACUCAAAGAUCACAAAUUUUCUGAAUACCCUUUGGGGAUUUAAGCUUGUUGGUUCGAAAUGGAGAGGCAAAUUGUGAUGGAUUCGAGUUCAUCGAGUGAAUUAGUUAGGGAAAUGAUGGAGGUGAUAGAGACGGUUGGAUCCUACGCUGGAUUCAGGGUAACUCAAAGGAAGGAGUGCUUGAAUUUGGUGAGGAGAUUGAAGCUUUUGGUGCCACUUUUGGAGGAGAUAAAGGAGCUUGAUUACUCAGUUUCGGGUUUGGGUUUGGCUUUCAAUUCUCUGCUUAACUUGAAGAAAGCACUGCUUGGAGCAAAGAAGCUGUUGAAGAAUUGUAACUAUGGAAGCAAGAUAUAUUUGGUAAUCAUUUAUAAUGCCGAUUGAUUUGCCUACUUUAUUUGUAUUUUUUUUCAAUUUUUUCAUUUGGCUGAUUCAAGAUGUUGCAUUUUUUCUGUUUGUUAAAAUUAGGCAAUGGAAAGUGAGGCGGUGAUGUGUAGAUUUCAUGCUGUUUAUCACAAAAUAAACCAGGCGCUUGAUAACAUCCCUUUUGAUAAACUUGGAGUUUCAAUUGAAGUGAAAGAACAAGUAAUGUUUCAUUUAUGUGUAUCUUAAUUUCAUCUUUCUAAAUAGAUUGCUUGAACUCCCAUUUUUUCACAUUGUUAAAUCAAUAUAUACAAUGAAUCAUUGCCUGGUUUGGUUUAGUUCUUAAUCAUUGUUUCAACCGAUGGACAAGAUAGAUACUCUCGUUCCUCUAUGCCGCACCGUAUCGUGUUCACAAUCGGGACAAUACCAGAUUACAGGCACGGCAUUAAACAGCACAGGGAAAUGAGUGUAUCCAAUUAGCCGCUUGUACUUGUGACACUUCUUAUUACAUUGGUUGAGUUUGUGAAUUAGCCCUGGAAAAGACCCAUUUUUCCUUUUAGCUUGUUCAAUAAAGGGGUGGUUAUGUUUUUUGAUUGAAUUCCUUCAGGUUGAGCUAAUGCGAAUGCAACUUAAAAGAGCAAAGAGGAGGACAGAUACACAAGAUAUGGAGUUAGCAAUGGAUAUGAUAGUGAUUUUCUCUAAAAAAGAUGAAAGGAAUGCAGACAUUGCUAUACUUGAAAGGCUGGCAAACAAGCUAGAAUUGCAUACCAUUGCAGAGUUGAAAGCUGAAAAAACAGCUAUAGCAAAACUGGUAAAGCAAAGAGGUGGAUAUAAUGAAACCAUGCACCAAAUUGUAGAUCUCCUGGGAAAGUUCAAGCAAAUUGCAGGGAUUGAUGAAACCGUUUCACUUGAUGGUCCUAUUUCAACUAGAACUGCCCAAACAUGUCAAUCUCCUUUAGUACCUCAUGAAUUUGUCUGCCCAAUUACGUUGGAAAUCAUGACAGAUCCUGUUAUUGUAGCAACUGGACAGGUAAUCCUCACAUUACUGCAUUUAUUAAUGUUCCACUUUUUUCAAGCAAACUGAGAAAGGUUUUUUGUUUUUGUUUUUGGUUGAAGACUUAUGAAAGAGACAGCAUUCGGAAGUGGUUAAAUUCCAACCAUCGAACCUGUCCAAAGACUGGACAAACUUUAGAACACUUGUCUCUAGCACCAAACUUCGCACUCCGCAACCUUAUUCUGCAAUGGUGUGAGAAGAACAACCUUGAACUGCCCAAAAAGGAUAAUUAUGCAUCUUCAGUUAAUUAUUCUGCAGAAAUCAUGGAAGAAAUCUCUUCAUUGGUUCUAAACCUAUCUUCUAGUCAGCCAAAUGUGCGUAGAGAUGCCAUUGUGAAGAUCCGUAUGCUCUCGAAAGAGAAUCCGGAGAACAGAAUUUUCAUUGCCAACGAUGGAGGAAUCCCACGUUUAGUUCAGCUAUUAUCUUAUCCAGAUUCCAACAUUCAAGAACACACUGUCACUGCCCUCUUGAACUUAUCAAUUGAUGAGACCAACAAAAGGCUUAUAGCUAGAGAAGGAGCUAUUCCUGCCAUUAUUGAGAUACUGCAAAAUGGAACUGAUGAAGCUAGAGAGAACUCUGCAGCAGCCUUAUUUAGCUUGUCAAUGCUUGAUGAGAACAAAGUUCUUGUAGGGAACUUCAAUGGGAUCCCACCAUUAGUAGCUCUGUUGAAAAACGGGACAAUGAGGGGUAAAAAGGAUGCAGCCACUGCACUUUUUAACUUGUCUUUGAACCAAGCCAACAAGUCCAGAGCCAUUAAAGCUGGCAUUAUACCACCAUUACUUCACUUACUGGAUGACAAAAAUCUGGGUAUGAUUGAUGAAGCACUCUCCAUCUUGUUACUUCUUGCAUCUCAUCCCGAGGGCCGGAACGAAAUCGGUCGAUUGUCAUUCAUCGAAACUCUGGUAGAAAUCAUUAGAAACGGGACCCCCAAGAACAAGGAAUGUGCGGUUUCAGUUCUGCUAGAGUUGGGGUUAAAAAAUUCAUCCCUUAUUUUAGCUGCUCUCCAGUUUGGUGUUUAUGAACCCCUAAGAGAAAUCUCCAUAUCUGGAACAAACAGAGCUCAAAGAAAAGCUAAUUCGUUAUUACAACAUAUGAGUAAGUGUGAACAUAUUCCUUGAACUUCCUCAAAUGGUUCCAAUUGCUAAUAUAUUUUCCCUUGUUUCAGUCUGUCAUUGUAAAAUUUGCAGCUUCACAACGUAUUAGAGAUUGUGAUUUUUGUGUCAGUUAGUUGUUCAAACAACUUGUUUUUGGUUUUUUUUCUAAUAUUCUUAAAAUAUUUUUUUUUCUAAAGGUAACUCUCUUGAAAAAUUAUUUCUUAAUAGUGACACAAUGAAACUAGAAAAAUACUUAUGCUAUAAAACAUGGUUAAUUUAGGGACAACAAUUUGGAUUGCGGAUCGAAUAUUCACAAAUAUCCAAUCCAAAUAAGGGUUACAAAAUGUUUAUCAUUUUGCUUCUAGCAUGACCUUUUACAAGGGAAGGCUAUAAAUCUGUUUAAUUCAUGUUUAAUUUAUAAUCCCUCCCCAACCUUUAAAUAAGAGGAUAUUGCGCUUUAACGCAUUCAAACUCACUUUCUUCUACACUAGCAAUAAUUGUUGAAACAUUUUCAAAUAUUUAUAGUGUUCCAACUAUGAAUGAAUGGGUGUAAUUAAUUAAAAGAUUAUAUUAUUUAAUUUUUUGAAAAAAAAAUUAUAACCAUCUAAAUAAUAUUAUUUGAAUAGUUAUAAUAUUAAAUGAAUAAUUAUGUGUUUAUUUUAAAGACAUUAUUAUUCAGAAAGACACCUAUUGAUGAAAGAUGUCUCUAUGAAGAGACAUGAAAAUUCCUAUAAAUUGGAAUAGGAUUUCAUUUGGAAAACACACCAACAAAUUUUAAUAUUCUUUCCAUCCUUCAUUUUCUAAUAUUAUUAGAUUAUUCUAUAAAGUAUUACGGCAGAAAUCCUUUGUAGAAAUUGAGUUUUUGUUAUACAUUGCUCAGUGCGUAGUGGACUAUUCUCGUCAGUGCAAAACGCAAAUAGUCAUUGGCUUCAUUGUAUCCUCGAGGUUAAUUUGCUUAGAACUCAUUUGCACACCGAAGAUAGGUAAGGUCGAAUAUAACCUUAAAGAUAGUGGCUUGAAACACGCCUUGGAGCCUUGUCCUAUUUUUUUCUGUUUGAGUUUCGCUCGUGUGUUCGAGAUUUUCCUCACCGGAGAUUUGAACUAACAAUUUUAAGGUUAUAACAUUCAUGAUGACUACCACAACACAUGAAAGUGGAACAAUAAGGGAGUUGGCUUCCAAUUUUGUCAAACUUGAUCGGUUUGAUGGUGGCAAUUUUCGACGAUGGCAGAAAAAGAUGCACUUCUUAUUAUCAACUUUGAAGAUUGCUUAUGUUUUGGAUACUCCAAGACCUGAAGAGAAUGAUAACGAAUCUGUUGCUGUAACCCGAGAAAGACAAAAAUGGGACAAUGUUGAUUACAUGUGCAUGGGCCACAUAUUGAAUGAUUUAUAUGAUGAUUUGUUCGACACCUACCAAAACGAGGUCACCGCUAAAGAAUUAUGGGACAAAUUGGAGACAAGAUACAUGACUGAAGAUGUUACAAGUAAGAAAUUUCUUGUUAGUCGUUUCAAUAAUUAUCAAAUGGUUGAUGGUCAUUCUGUUAUGGAACAAUUCCGUGAUAUUGAAAAUAUGUUGAAUCAAUUCAAGCAAUAUGAUAUGAAAAUGGAUGAAAUGAUUGUUGUAUCCUCCAUAAUAGACAAACUUCCUCCAUCUUGAAAAGACUUUAAAAAGAAGUCUAAAACAUAAGAAAGAGGAAAUAUCUCUUGAGACUUUGGCAAAUCAUCUUCGUAUUGAAAAAGAAUAUCGAAAACAAGAUCAGAACCUAAAUUCUAAAAAUGCCAAAGUGCAUGUUACGGAGGAAGUACAGACUACAAAACCAUUCAAGAGAAAGUUCAAACAGACUGAUAGAGCACCUAAGUUCAAAAAGAAACAAAAGGGCUCAUGCUAUUGUCGAAACCAUUUUUAUUUUUGAAAAAAAAAAACAAAAUUUAGUUGUCGAUGAAAAUUUAGAGUCGCCACCAAUCUUUUAUUAAGGUGUGAUUGGAUCACCUAGAAUGACUUUGGUCUACGAGUUUUAGAAAAACAGGUUCGUCAGUCAGUUACGUACGAGGAAGGAUUAGCACCCUCGUAACGCCCAAAAUUUGGUACCAAGUUGAUUAACUAGUGUCGUAAUGUCGAGAAUUAAUAAAUACAAUCCUUAGUUAAAUUAAAUUAUUUAUUAGGACUUUCUCAUUUUAAAAAAAGAAAAUAUCACACCCAAUGCGUUAGGGCACAAUAUUUUAUUCCUUUCAAGAUGAGUUGGUCCUAAAAACUCGUGUAAUAAAACUUAAGAAAACAUUUAAUUGUUUAAAAUUUAUGAAGAAAUCGCAGCCCAAUACGUUAGGGCACGAUUUCCUAAAAUCCCAAACAUUCAAUAUUUCCUUUAUUAUUUUAUUUUUUUUAAAAAAUCUUUAUCUCGAGAAAUCAACGUGUCACAUCCAAUACGUUAGGACACAACAUAUUGAAUUCCCGAUGACAAGUUUUAUUUUGUUUGAUCAAAGAGUAAUUCUCGAUUGUUAGAUUUAACGAAGAAAAUCGGAACCCAAUACGUUAGGGCUCAACUUUCUUGAAAAUCCUAAAUACGAGUAUUAUCUCUAUUUUGAAAAGUUCUAUUUUAAAUUCGAGUAAAAAGAUGAUGUGAUUGAAUGUAUGCAUAAAUGUUACAAUAACAAAUACAUCAAUGGCAUAGAAAUAAUAUAAACAAAUAAAUAAACGAAAUUAAUAUAAAAAAACAAUAAUCCAUGAUAUGCAAAGUAGGGUUGUGCAUAAUUCGGUUAACCCGAUUUUUUUCGGUUAAUCGACCGAGUUCGGUUAAUCGGUCGGUUAACCGAAAAAAUUUGGUCGGGGGUCGAUUAAUUUUUUUUUAUUUUUUCGGUUAACGGUUAAAUCGGUUCGAAACCGGUCGGUUAACCGAAAAAAAUCGGGUAAACCGAAUUUUGCAGGGUAGGGCCUAAAAUAGGUCAAAUUAAACCCGACCCAAUUUUUUCUCAAGCUCAACACCGAACUUUUUGGGUAAUUUUCGGGUAAUUCGGGUAAUUUUCGGGUAAUUCGGUUAAUCGGGUAAUUCGGGUAAUUCGGGUAAUUUUUAACCAAAAAUAAAAAACACAUAAUUUUCGAUUAAUUCAGUUAACCGACCUUAUUAACUGAAAAAAUUCGGUUCGGUUAAUUUUUUUUAAAAAAAUUCGGUUCGGUUAACAGUUAAAAAUUUUGGAAGGUCGGUUAAUUCGGUUAUAGCAAUUUCGGGUCGGUUUACCAAAUGAACACCCCUAAUGCAAAGUAUCAAAUAAAUGAACAAAAUAUAAAUGAAAACAUAAAUCAAUAAACAAAUGAAGGAAAUAAAAAAUAAAAAAAUACAAAAUAUAUACAUUAAAAUUAUGAGGAAUAAAAGACAAACAUAUGAUUUGCAUAUAAAAUUUUGGAUUAUAAAUUUAUACAAACAAAAUACAUAAGAAAAAUAUAUAAAUAUAUACAUAUAAAUUAUAAAAUAUGCAUUAAAAAUAUAAGUAUGUAUUUAAGCAUUUUCAAAAUAAAAAUAUAGAUAUAUAUGUAUAUAUAUAAAUAUAAAAAAAUAUUCAUUAGAAAAAAAUAUAUAAAUAUAUACAUGUAUAUAUAUACAAAAGUAAAAAAAAAAAUUGAAACUAAAUAUAAAAGUAUAUAUAUGUAUAUAAAAGUUAGGAAGUAAAAUAAAAAUAAAAACAUAUGUAUAAAAUAUAUAUAAGCAUACGUAUACUAUAUAUAAAACAAUAUAUAUAUUACAUAAAAACGAUGCAUGCGCAUGAAUAUAAAAAUAAAAAUAAUAAUAAUAAUCAUACAAGACUAAUGAUGCCACAUAAUAAUAUUAAUAAUAUGAAAAUAAUUAAUUUAAUAAUAAAAAAACUAAAAUAACAAAUAGAGCAUUAAAUAGCAUCAAUAAUCAAAGACCAAUGAAUUUAAAACAAAGAGUAUAAAAAAAAUAUAAGGCCAAAUAAAAUGUAAACAAAUUUAAAAAUAAUGAAUUUGAAAAUGAAUAAUAAGGGAAAAAGAGAUUUGAAAUCAACAAUAUACAAAUCAAAUAAUAAAUUAUACACAAAUCAACAAAAUAAGAACGCAAGAGAGAGAUAAAUUUGAGUAAAUACUCUUAAGAAUUAUUAUUACUCCCCACUUUCGUAUUUUACAAUGAAGGGAGAGGCAUCUAUUUAUAGUUGAGCCUCCCCAAAUCCAACGGUACAGAUUAAUUACAUCAACGGCUAAGAUUAAAAGGUAUCUACAAAUUAAAUCUCUAAGAUUACAAAAUCAUAUCUUCUAAGAUUGCAUAUCAUAUCUAAGACUACAUAUCAUAUCUAAGAUUGCAUAUCAUAUCUAAGAUUGCAUAUCCUUGAAGAUUAUGUUUCCAUAUGCAUCAAGCUUGUAGAUAGACCUUCAACCUUUUCAAGUAAUGGGCCAUCCCGAUCGGGCCAAAUGAUAUAGUUUUGGACUUUGUUUUAUUAUUUUGGGUUUAUUAUUUUUUUAUGAGCCCGGGCUAAAUUGGCCUAUUACAGCUAUUAUUGUGGAAAGCCGGGACAUUUCAAGAAUGAAUGUCGAUUUUUAAAGAAGAAAUCAUCUUCUAAGGUUAAUAAUAACGAAAAGUUCGUUGCAAUGAUAUCUGAAAUUAAUAUGGCACAAGAUGAUAAUACAUGGUGGAUUGAUAUUGAAGCAACCAAACAUGUGAACAAAGACAAAAGCAUGUUCACAAAAUUCACACAAUGUGAAAAUGACAAUGUAUUGUACAUGGGAAAUUCUUUCACCGCAGCAAUCAAAGGCAAACGGUUUGUUGAAUUACAAUUCACUUCUGGAAAGGUUUUAACAUUAAAUGAUGUAAAUUAUGUACCAAAAGUUAGGAAGAAUUUAGUGUCUGGAAGUUUGUUAAAUAAGUUUGGUUUCAAACUUGUUUUUGAGGCAGAUAAGUUUAUUUUGUCUAAGGGAGGAAUUUUUGUGGGGAAAGAGUAUACGUAUGAGAGUAUAUUCAAACUCAAUAUUAUUAAUAAGAAUAAAAAUAUUACUUCUGUUUAUAUGGUUGAAUCUUUUUGUUUGUGGCAUUAUAGAUUAGGUCAUUUGAAUCAUAGAAAAUUGAAUAACAUGUAUAAGUUAGAUUUAAUUCCUAUUUUUAAUAAUAAUAUUGAAAAAUGCAAUACAUGUAUGUUGACUAAAAUUACAAGAAACCCUUUUCCCUAAGGUUAAAAGGAAAACAAAAUUGCUUGAUUUGAUACAUAGUGAUUUAUGUGACAUACAUAAUACUCCUACAUUAGGUGGAAAGAAAUAUUUUGUUACUUUUAUUGAUGAUUGUUCUAGAUAUUGUUAUGUAUAUUUAUUGCAUUCAAAAGAUGAAGCGCUUGAUAAAUUUAAAGUUUAUAAAUCUAAAGUUGAACUUUAGUGUGAAUCAUUUAUCAAGUGCUUAAGAUCGGAUAGAGGUGAAGAAUACUAUAAUCCAAGUUAUUUUGAAUCCACUGGAAUUAUUCAUCAAGUUUCAGCUUCUUACACACCACAACAAAAUGGUGUAGUUGAAAGGAAAAAUAGAGUCUUGACUGAAAUGGUAAAUUGAAUGUUAUCAUAUUCAGGUCUUGGACAAGGUUUUUGGGGAGUAACUGUUCUAACAGCUUGUCAUAUAUUGAAUAGAGUUCCUAAUAAGGAAACUAAAAUAAGCCCCUAUAAACAAUGGAAGAAAAGGAAACCAAACCUUAAUUAUUUGAAGGUUUAGGGUUGUAAAGCUAUUGUCAAAGUUCCAACACCUAAACAUAAAAAAUUAGGUAAAAGAGGAAUUGAAUGCAUAUUUACAGGUUAUGCACAUAAUAGCAAUGCAUAUAGGUUCAUGGUAAUUGAACCAAAUGAUUCAAUUUUAAUUAAUACUGUUAUUGAAUCAAGAGAUGCUAUUUUUUAUGAAAAUAGAUUUAAUUUUAUAUCAAGACAAUUACAGCCACAACAAUUGAUUCAUUCUUCAAAUAAGAAUGAGAUUCUAUUGGAACAAAUUGAUAAUAAUGAUGAAUCUUGUCAAGAAUUAAGAAGAAGUAAGAGGAUUAAAAAGGUCAAAGAUUUUUGAUCAGAUUUCAUUAUGUUUCUUAUAGAAGGAAAAUGUGAAAGUAUAUGCAAUAAGAUACCUUAUUGUUCUAAUACGGAAUCUGAUCCUAUUACAUUUGAAGAGGCAAUGAAAUCUUAAGACUCUGCUUUUUGGAAAGAAGCAAUAAAUGAUGAGAUGGAUUCAAUAAUGGGAAAUCAAACUUGGAUCUUAGUUGAUCUUCCACCAGGUUUCAAACCAAUAGGUUGUAAAUGGAUCUUCAAAAAGAAAAUGAAGGUCGAUGGAACCAUUGAUAAAUUUAAAGCAAGGUUGGUAGCCAAAGGUUUUACUGAUUACUUUGAUACCUAUGCUCCAGUAGCAAGAAUUGCUACAAUUAGACUCUUAAUAUCACUUACCUCUAUAUAUAAUUUGGUUGUUCACCAAAUAUAUGUUAAAACUACAUUUUUAAAUGGUGAAUUGGAAGAGGAAGUGUACAUGGAGCAACCGGAAGGAUUUGUUGUCCCAGAACAAGAGCAUAAGGUAUGUAAGCUUGUUAAAUCUUUAUAUGGGCUUAAACAAGCACCAAAACAAUGGCACCAAAAGUUUGGUAAGGUUGUUUUAGCUAAUGGCUAUAAAAUAAAUGAAUCCGAUAAGUGCAUAUAUAGCAAAUUUAAAAAUGGAAAAAGUGUCAUAAUUUGCUUAUAUGUAGAUGACAUGCUCAUUUUUGGCACGGAUUUGGAACAAAUAGAAAACACAAAGAAAUUCUUGUCAAACAACUUUGCUAUGAAGGAUAUAGGUGUAGCAGAUGUUAUUCUUGGGAUUAAAAUAACCCGAGAUGAAAGCACUAUAGCUUUAUCACAAUCACAUUACAUUGAAAAUGUGCUCAAAAAGUUUGAUCUUUUCAACUGUAUACCAGAAUCUACACCUAUGGAUCCUCAAAUAAAAUUAGUAUUUAAUGCUGGUAGGAAAAUUGAUCAAUUAAAAUAUGCAAGUCUAAUUGGUUGUCUUAUGUACAUAAUGACUUGUACAAGACCAAAUAUUGCAUAUGCUAUUGGAAAAUUGAGUAGGUACACAAGUAAUCCAAGUAGUUUGCAUUGGCAAGCUUUGAAUAGAGUACUUAGGUACUUAAAGAAAACUAUUAACUAUGGAUUGUGUUAUAAUGGAUAUCCUCCAGUUUUAGAAGGGUGUUCGGAUGCUAGUUGGAUUACAAGUUUGGAAGAUCAUGCAUCUACUAGUGGAAUAGGAUUUCAUUUGGAAAACACACCAACAAAUUCUAAUAUUCUUUCUUUCUUUCCUUCAUUUUCUAAUAUUAUUAGAUUAUUCUAUAAAGUAUUACUGCAGAAAUCCUUUGUAGAAAUUGAGUUUUUGUUAUACAUUGCUCAGUGUGUAGUGGACUAUUCUCGUCAAUACAAAACGCAAAUAGUCAUUGGCUUCAUUGUAUCCUCGAGGUUAAUUUGCUUGGAACUCAUUUGCACACAAAAGAUAGGUGGGGGAGAAUAUAACCUUAAAGAUAGUGGAUUGAUACAAGUCUUGGAGCUUUGUCCUAUUUUUUUCUGUUCGAGUUCGAGUUCCGUUCAUGUGUUCGAGAUUUUCCUCACCGGAGAUUUGAACUAACAAUAAUGUUGAUGUCAACUUAGUUAAAACUCAAUCAAUAAUUUGAGAUUAUUCUUUUUAUUAUUUGAAUCAAUAUAUUUGGAUGGUUUACACAAUGCAAGUUUAAAAACUGCAAUUACACGAAACCAAGCUGAAUUCUAUUUCUUAUUUCAUAAAUAAAUCAUUUUUAUUUUUAUUAUAUAAAAAUAUUUUAUAUUUAAAAUAGUGAAAAUAAUUUAAAAGUUCUAAAAAAAUUUUAAAAAAUUUAAAACAAAAAGUAAAACAACGAAAAAUCGAGAACCAAACCAACCUGAAUUGAGUUGAAUUAUGAUGGACACUAAAAACCUAAUUGAAACAAACUGAUAUCAUCCCUACAUGUAAAUAACUUUAUCGUAGAUUUAUAGUAUAUACAAUUAACACUAUAUAAUUAAGGUAGAUUAGUAAUAAUGUGUAACCCUAUAUAGUAUAUACAACUAUGUUACUAUAAUGUACAUUUGUAUAUUAAUGAUACGUAACCUUAAACCUUAAAUGUGCAACUAACCUUAUCGUAUAUUAUUGUUAUACUUAUAUCCUUACCUUAUAUAGUAAUAAUGUGUAACCCUAUAUAGUAUAUACAACUAUGCCACUAUAAUGUACAUUUGUAUAUUAAUGAUACGCAACCUUAAACUCUAAAUGUGCAGCUAACCUUAUCAUAUAUUAUUGUUAUACUUAUACCCUUACCUCAAUUUAGACCCAAUUGGACUCUCCUUUGAGCCAUUCAAGAUCCAAUGAGUGGCAUAAUUGGGUAAGAACCCUCGCCUGCCUAUAAAUACCCUAAGGACUAACAUAGUAGGGAGACUUCUUUUCAACUAUCGACCUUAGAACAAGUGAACUAACCUUCUUCAACACCACCCCCUCUCAUCCUUCUCUACUUCCAUUGAUAUUGUGUAUUAACAAUUAUAAUAUAUACAAUUAGCAUUAUAUAAUUAAAGUAGAUUACUAAUGAUAUGUAACCCUAUACAACUAAGUUAUUAUAAUGCACAUUGUUAUAUUAAUGAUCUUAAAGCUUAAGUUCAAAUCUUGUUCUAGUAUUAUUUUACUAAAAAAUAUGAAAAGAUAAAAAUAUCCUUACACUGAUAUUUGUUAAUAUGUAAAGUAAUAGUAUUUUAGUAAUUUUUUAACUGAAUUGGUGCUUAGUUGACUUAUCACCAACUCAAUCAGAAGUUUAAUAUAAGAUUAUAAGUAUAAAUAUUAAAUAAUGGACCCAUUGACAAUAAUAUAAUAAAUAACACUUGAAAUUUAAAAUCUAAUUUAUGAUUUUUUUAAUAUGAAAUUUUAAAUACUAUUAAAUAUUAUUAUAAUUUAUACAAUUUUUAAUGAAAAUAAAAUUUUUAUUAAUUCUCUUUAAAGUUGGACAUAUAAGUAUUAGCCCAACAUAAACCUACAACAAUUUUUAAAGAAAAUUCUACAAUGCCCAAUUUAUUAAAAGAAUUUUUUUCCCCCAAUUGAAACUCACAGCCAUUGACUUCCAAGUCCCAUUUCAAAUUUCCCAAAAGGUCAAAACCUAAAAUUUCCCCCAAAUCCCCCAGCCCUCGACUCUCAAGUUGUCCUAACCACUGUCUAGUACUGGUCAAGCACCGUCAACUGUUUACCGUUGACUAUUAACCACCGACCUCCAAUUUCUCGUUUAACUGGUUAGAUUUUUUCCUCAUUUGACUAUUUAUGUGCAUUCUUGGAACCAUUUACUAAUCAAUUAUUUAGCUAAUUUCAUUUGUAAAUUUUCUCAAGAAGAGGAAUAAGCAAUGACUUGAAGGAUGGAAUGAAAAGGGCAUAAAAUGUGAUCGUAGAAUUUUGUGAGAAAAUAAAGUCAGGCGUCAAAAUAAAAUUCAGAAAUAAAAAUAAUGUUGAAGAAGACGUAAGAGAGCAAAGUAAUGACAUUAAUUGCAUUGAUUAUUGCAAUAUGUCACUGCUCAGUUCUAUUCCUUCCUCUACAACCCUGAUCCAUAUCAGUUUUCUUCAAAUAUUUCAAUGAAUUUUCUGUAAUAUUUGGAUUUUCCCUGAUUUUUUGUUUUUAUAAAAUAUUUUUUAAUCUGAAAGUAUGUUUAUAAAAUAUAAGAAUUUCUAAAAUUUUAUAAUUUUUUUAAUUUACAUAAAUUUUCACAUUUUUUGAAUUUUUUUUAAAAAAAUUAUAAUUUUUAAAUAAUUUAUUGAUGUGAUAUAUAUGAUGAAAUAGUCCACUCUACAAUUAAGUACAUGUACAUCAGCAAGUAUAGUUGAUCAUUAGCCAACUAGCUGCCACAUCUAAUUCUAAUUUAUCUGAUAAAGAUUAAAAGAUUAAAAUUUGCAAUUAGGCCUUUUAUUUAUUAUUUUUUAAAGUAGCAUAAAAAAUUUGGACUUUUUGUUUUUAUUUUUUUUCAAUAUUCUUAUAUGGAAAUAUAUAUAAAAAUAAAAAAAUUCAUGGGCUUGAUCCUGGUUGGCUAGCCUACUAAUUGAAGUUAAAUGUCUAACUUAUACCCUAGACCCUAAGCCUUUCUUCCUGGCUCCUAAAGAUACCUAUCCCUGUAAUGGCUUCUUGAAUGUUCCUAGCCCAACGUCGGUGGUUCGGUUCUUCUCUGCUUUACCUUUUCAACACCCUGUUUCUGUUUUUGGACCUCAAAAUAAUGUUACCCCCAAAUCUAACAAGUUUAAAAAUGUAACACCCUUAACUCUUAUCCGUUACCGAAAUAGGGUUACAGAGCAUUACCAAACUUUUCAAAUCAAAUACGAACAUUUCAUAUCCAUUAACACACAUAUCAAAAACUAAUCAUAGUCACUCAUAUUGUCCCUUAUAUGAGCCCUCAAGACACAAAAUAUGCACUUAAAAUGAAUCGGAACUAAACUAGGAACUCAAAGAAUUUUUCACAGAACUUCAAAACGUUUCCUAUGUGUAGGGGACACGCACCCGUGUGGCCAGGUCGUGUGGCUUACACGGUCAAGAGACACACCCGUGUCUUAGGCCGUAUGGGUACUCGAAGUGAGGCACGCAGCCUGGGCACACAGGCGUGUGUCCCCUGCACCUAGGAAAAAUUUUGAAGUUUUGUGAAAAACUCUCUAAGUUCCCGAUUUAGUUCUGAUUCAUUUUAAGUGCAUAUUUUGGGCAUCGAUGGCUCAUAUAAAGGACAAGAUGAGUGACUAUGAUUAGUUUCUGAUAUGUAUGUUAAUUGAUAUGAAAUGUUAGUAUUUGAUUUGAAAAGUUUGGUUAUGCUCUGUAACCCUAGUCUGGUGACAGAUAAGGGUUAGGGGUGUUACAUUUAGUGGUAUUAGAGUUAUGGUUUAGUUGGUUCUUGGAUUGAACAUAGCAUGCGAAAUGUCUAGAAACACAUGUCAUAUAAAUGUGUGAUAGUGUGAGGUGUAUGAUCCAAUCUAACCUUUGUUUUCUUAUAAAUUGUAUAGAUGUUAGAUGGAUCUGAACGUGCUGACCAUGAUGAGGUCAGUAGUAGAGCACCGACUGCUGAACAUGGGAUGAGUAGUAAUGUCUCAAUCCCUCUGGCUCAGGAACAAAAACAUAAAAAUAUAUUCUUUGGGUAUAUGAACCAGUGGUUCAGUGAAUUUAUGCAAGAAAGAAAUCUGGCUCAACAACUUCUACCCUCUACUGUACCGCCUGUAGUACCUCAGGUUGCACAUCCACCUCCUCCAGUGACUGAAUCUAGUAAAUGUACUCCAAUUGAGAAACUCUGAAAGUGUGGGGCUGAAGAAUUUUAAGGUAGGUCAAAAGAUGAUCUAGUUAAAGCCGAGUAUUGGCUUCAAAAUACAAUAAAGGUCUUUGAAGAAAUGGCUAGCUCCCCUGAUAAUUAUCUUAGAUGUGUUGUUUCAUUACUGAAAGAGGAAGCAAAUAACUGGUGGUUGACAAUAGUGGCUGUAGUGUCAAAGGAGAAAAUUUUUCGGGAAUUUUUCCAAACUGAAUUCAAGAAGAAGUAUGUCAGCAAAAGAUAUUUAGACAAGAAGAAGAGAGAAUUUCUUGAGUUGCGCCAAGAAAACAAAUUAGUAGUUGAGUAUGAAAGAGAAUUUGUAUACCUCAAUAAAUAUGCUCGAGAAAUUGUGCCAACCGAAGAAGAAAUGUGCAUUCGAUUUAAAAAAAAGUUAAAUGAUGAAAUUCGAAUGAUGAUUGGAGGCAAUGAAAUUCGAGAAUUUGUUGUUUUGUCAGAUCGUGCACAGAAGAUGGAAGAGGUGUACAAUCAAAAAAUGCAAAGGGAUAAACGGAAUCGAGAAUCUUAUAAAAGAGGUUCUUCUAAAACAUUUUUGGCAUCACCUGCUAAAAAGUCUAAAGAUAAUUUCAGUCGAGCUAUCUCAUUGCCUGAACGAUCAAAUAAAAACAAGAUGAUUCAACCUGAUUACGGGGUAUCUACUAGACUCGCUUUUAGUAUGGGUAGUAUGCAAAAUACUCCUAAGCCUAAAUGCAGAUAUUGUGGGAAAUACUACCUUGGCGAGUGUAGAAGUAAAGUAGGGGCUUAUUAUAAGUGCGGAGCAACUGAUUAUUUUAUCCGAAAUUGUCCUCAAUUGUAAAAAGAAGAAGAAGAGCAGAAAGAAAAGUAAUUGCCUACUUCACAGAGAAGUAGAUGUUCGGGCCAAAAUAGUGUCACUAGGACCGCUCAUUCGGGUAUGAAAUAUAUUACUGCUCGGUCAGAGGCUAGAGCACCUAUGCGUACCUAUGUCAUUCGAGUAAGAGAAGAAGCUACGGCUCUAAAUGUGAUUACUGGUACAUUCUAUCUCUUUGAUGCUACGGUGUAUGUAUUAAUUAACCCAGGUCCACUCAUUCUUAUAGUUGCACUACAUUAGUAACGAAAAAGAAAUUGCCUGUUGAAUCUACUGAUUAUGAUAUUCAAGUUACUAAUCUAUUAGGUCAAAGUGUGAUAGUUAAUUUAGUGUGUCGAAAUUGUCCACUGAAAGUUAAGGGCUGUAAGUUCCCUGCUGAUUUGAUGUUGCUACCUUUUCUGGAAUUUGAUGUUAUUCUGGGAAUAGAUUGGUUAUCUAUGCAUGAUGCUGUAGUAAAUUGUAGACGGAAACAGAAUGAUUUGAAAUGUCAAACAGGAGAGAUGAUUUCAGUUGAGUCUGAGAAUUUGAAAGAUAUUGUUAGAAUUAUUUCAUCAUUUUCUGCUCAAAUAUUGAUGCAAAAAGGUAAUGAAGCAUUUUUAGCAUACAUCCUUGAUACUCGGGAUUCAGAAUCGAAGUUAGAACAGUUACCGAUUGUUAGUGAGUUUGUUGAUGUAUUUCUUGAAGAAUUGUCGGGUUUACCACCUGAUCAUGAAGUUGAGUUUGUAAUUGAUGUGAUUCCUGGAACUGCUCCGAUAUCAGUAACACCAUACCGUAUGGCACCAGUAGAACUAAAAGAAUUAAAGGCACAAUUGCAAGAGUUAUUAGAUCGAGGGUUUAUCAGACCGAGUAUGUCUUCCUAGGGUGUACAUGUUUUAUUUGUGAGAAAGAAAGAACGUGAUUACAGACAGUUGAAUAAAGUCACAAUAAAAAAUAAAUACCCUCUGCCUCGUAUUAGUGAUUUGUUUGAUCAACUCAAAGGUGUCGCAGUGUUCUCGAAGAUAGACUUCAGAUCCAGGUAUUAUCAAUUGAAGGUUAAAGAACGUGAUGUACCAAAGACUGCUUUCAGAGCUCGUUACAGUUAUUAUGAGUUUUUGGUAAUGCUAUUUGGUUUGACUAAUGCCUCUGCUGCUUUUAUGGAUUUAAUGAAUCGAAUUUUUCAACCUUAUUUGGAUAGAUUUGUGGUUGUGUUUAUUAAUGAUAUAUUAAUCUAUUCCAAGCUAAAAUCCGAGCAUGCACAACAUUUGAGGAUUGUAGUACAGACUUUGAGAGAAAAGCAGUUGUAUGCAAAGUUUAGCAAAUUUGAAUUAUGGCUUCACGAGGUUGGAUUCUAGGGACACGUAGAAUCAACUGAAGGGAUUUGGUUUGAUCCGAGUAAAGUUUCUGCUGUGGUGAAUUGGAAAACUCCAAAAAAUGCUUCAAAAGUGUGAAGUUUUCUGGGUCUAGCAGGUUACUAGCGACAUUUUGUCAAAAAAAUUUCGAUUAUUGCUUCGUCAUUAACCCGAUUAUUACAGAAAAAUGUUGAAUUUGUUUGGUCCGAUUAGUGCCAGUAGAGUUUUGAUCAGCUGAAGAAGAUGUUGACGGAAGCUCUAGUUUUGGCUCAGCCAGAAUCUGCCGUACCAUAUGUUGUUUAUAGUGAUGCGUCUUUAAAUGGUUUGGGUUGUGUACUGAUGUAGUCAGGAAAGAUAGUAGCUUAUGCUUCUUGAUAAUUAAUGCGGCAUGAGAAGAAUCUAGCGUACCGUAUGUUGUUUAUAGUGAUGCGUCUUUAAAUGGUUUGGGUUGUGUACUGAUGCAGUCAGGAAAGGUAGUAGCCUAUGCUUUUUGAAAAUUAAUACUGCAUGAGAAAAUUUAUUCUACAUAUGAUCUUGAGUUGGCUACAGUCGUAUUCGCUUUGAAGAUUUGGAGAUAUUAUUUAUACGGUGAGAAAUGUUACGUGUUCACAAAUCACAAAAGUCUAAAGUACUUAAUGACUCAGAAAGAGUUAAAUUUGAGACAGAGACGGUGACCAGAAUUACUGAAAGAUUACAAUCUGGUUAUUGACUACCCCUCGGGAAAGGCUAAUGUAGUUGCGGAUGCACUUAGUCGAAAGUCGUCAUCGUUUGCACUUCGAGCGCUGAACGCUCAUUUAACUUUUAAUGAAGAUGGUACUGUAUUAGGAGAGUUGAGAACGAAACCUUUGUUUCUUCAACGAAUUCGGGAAUUGCAAGAUGGUGAUUCGAAAUUGGUGUUGAAACAACAGAUGGUUCAGGACAAUCUGAGUUCAGAGUAUAGUAUUUAUGAUAGAGGUAUGUUACAUUAUCACAAUCGAAUUUGUGUUCCAAAUAAUUCAAGUUUGAAAAGUGAUAUUCUUUCUGAGGUUCAUGGUAGCAUGUAUUCUAUUUAUCCGGGUAGUACAAAGAUGUAUUGUGAUUUAAAAAGGAUGUAUUGGUGGCCGGGUAUGAAACGGGAAAUUUUUGAAUUUGUAGCAAAAUGUUUGAUUUGUUAGCAAGUGAAAGCAGAACAUCAGGUACCAACGGGCUUACUACAACCUGUUAUGAUUCCUGAAUGGAAGUGGGAGCAUGUCACGAUAGAUUUUGUAUCUGGUUUACCUUUAAAUCCGAGAAAGAAAGAUUCGAUCUGGGUGACUAAGUCGGUACAUUUUAUUCCAGUCAGAACAGAUUUUACACUUGAGAAAUUGGCGGAAUUAUAUAUAUCUGAGAUUGUGAGGUUACACGGGGUUCUAACAUCUAUUAUUUCAAAUCGAGAUCAGAGGAGUAAACUGCAAGAGGCUCUACGUACUAAGUUUAAUUUCAGUACAAUAUUUCAUCCUCAGACUGACGGACAAUCGGAACGAGUGAUUCAGAUUCUGGAAGAUAUGUUAAGAUGUUGUAUACUGGAGUUUGGAGGUAGCUGGGAAAGGUAGUUACCGUUAGUUGAAUUUGUAUAUAAUAAUAGUUAUCAAUCUAGUAUAAAAAUGACACCGUUUGAAGCUCUUUAUGGGAGGAAAUGUAAGAUGCCAUUGUAUUGGUCUAAAUUGAGUGAAUCUAAACUAGUAGGAGUUGAUUUGAUUCAAGAGACUGAAGAUAAAGUUCGGAUUAUGUGGGAUAGUUUGAAAGCUGCUUCUAAUUGCUAAAAAUUGUAUGCAGAUUUAAAAAGAAAAGAUAUAAAAUUUGUUGUUGGUGAUCGAGUAUUCCUGAAAGUCUCUCCAAGGAAGAAAGUAUUACGGUUUGGUAAGAAAGGGAAACUGAGUCCAAGAUUUAUCGGACCGUAUGAAAUUAUUUAAAGAAUUGACCCUGUAGCUUAUAGAUUAGCUUUGCCUCCUAAACUUGAGAAAAUUCAUAAUGUGUUCCAUGUAUAGAUGUUGAGACGGUAUAGAUUUGAUCCUUCACAUGUGAUUCCUCAUAAUGAGAUUGAGUUACAGCCAAAUAUGACGUAUUCAGAAGAGCCGAUGAGAAUUUUAGCUCGAGAGGUUAAAAAGUUACGGAAUAAACAAGUACCGUUAGUAAAAGUAUUGUAGCAUCGACAUGGUUCUGAAGAAGCUACUUGGGAAAAUGAAGAAUAAAUAAGAGUACAGUAUUCGAAUUUAUUCUUAGGUAACAAAUUUCGAGAACAAAAUUUCCUAAAAGGGGGAGAGUUGUAACAACCUAAUUUUUAGUGGUGUCAAAAAUAGUAGUUCGAGACCACCAAAUCCAACGAGUAAGCUCGUAAAUUGUAUUAUUUAGUAUUUACAUGUCAAACGUGGUUUUAGAAAUAUUUUUGAAUUAGUAAUUAAUGUAUUAUAGUAAACUAUUAGGUUUGAGUGGUAAAAACCUAGGUUAAGUGGUUUUAGAAAAUGAGGUAUCGAGACCUCAUUUCUAUAAAUCGAGCCAUAAAUAUUUUUAUAAAUAUUUACGGAGAGUCAUUAAGGUAGUAUUAAAGUUUCAUUAGAAAAUUUUAUCGUUUCGAUAGUUAAUUAACUAAAAAUGGCUAAAUUGAAAAAUGUACAAAACUUGCUAAUUAAAAGAAAUAGUGAUUAAAUGGCUUAAAUGGUAAAUAAAGGAGGACUUAAAGAGCUAUUGAGCCUAAAUUAAAUGGCUGAGGCCACAUAGGCACAAAAAUAUAAUAAAAUGAUGAGAUUUAAGGGCAAAAUUAGAAAUAAAAUAAAAUUAAAAUAGCCAAAAUUAGAAAUAAAAUUAAAAUGAUGAAAUUUCAGAGAAUAGUCCCUGAACUUCUGCAAAUCUUACAAUUUAACCCAGGUAAGUUCGUAUGGUUAAACUUUAAUAUUUAUAUUGAAUUGAUUAAUGAUAUUAUGUAUUUAUUCUAUUGUUGAAAAUGGAAUAUUGUUUAAAUUAUAAAUUUAAAGUGAAUAUUCGGGUUAAAUGGAACGCGGGAUUUGAGUACUAUCAUUGUGUGGCGCAAGACGGCAAUGGAAGAAUUGACGGAAAAUUACCCAAGUAAACUGAUGUUCAGCAUUUGUUGCGAACUUUUGUGUUUACUUUUCGUUCAACUCUCGCGAGCUUCUGUUUAACUCAUAUGAGUUUCCGUUCAGCUCUAUUGAGCUUCUAUUUAACCUUAUGAGUUUCCGUUCAGCUCUUACGAGCUUCUAUGCAGCUCUUACGAGCUUCUAUUCAACCCUUUUGGGUUUCUGUUUAACUCUCAUGAGCUUCUGUUCAGCCUUAGGGCUUCUAUAAACGAUGUGCUCUUAUCCGUAAGCCGUUCUCCGAUUUGGUAAGAUUUGGUAAGUGACUUAUAUAAUUGAAAUUGAAAGACUUAUUGUUUAUUAUUGGUAUUGAUUAGAAAUAAGUGUGUUCAUCUAUUAAAGUUGUGAUUGGCAGAGAAUUUACAUUGAAUGAAUUUAUUUAAUUGAUGUGUUGUAGUAGGUUCGAUAAGAUUUUUGUUUAACCCAUCGAACUUACUAAGCUUCAUUAAGCUUACUCGAGAUGUUUAAUGUCUUUAUAGAUUUUUGAGAGGUCAGAAGAUCAGAUCAGUACAUCAAGUCACACUAUUCAGUUUAUUCCAGUAGUUUGAAACGUACACUAUGGUUUAUAUGGCAUGCAUAGGGUUGGAAUGGUUUUGAAUAAAGUUGGUUUGUGUAAAUAUUAUGAAUUACAUUUUGUUUAUAUUUCCAAUCAACUUAUAUAUGUAUGUGUAGUCUUAUCAUGCUUGGUAUAUGUUUGGGUGUAGUUAAUUGAUGGAUGGUUUACAGGCAUGUUGGUGAAUGAGAUAGUAUAGUAUAGAUGGUAUAAAUAUGUAAAUAUAUGUUUUGGUCAAUAUGGUAAAUUUGAAAUGCUAUGAUAUAUGAGAUAAUAUGACAUGCUAAGAGCUUGAGUUGAGUGUAUUGAAAGUCUUGUUAUGGCCUAUGAGUAUGAAUUUUGAAGUUUUAGGUUGAAAUCAAAUAUGGGUGAGAAAUGUAGCCUUCAAAUGACCUAUUUUUGUCACAUGGGUAGAGACAGGGACGUGUGUCUCAGUCGUGUGUGACACAGGGCCAAGCACAUAGGCAUCUGGUCUGGCCGUAUAUCCCCUGCAUCUUUAAAAUUGAGAAAUAGAAUGCCCAGGUAUUUUCACAUGACCUAACACACGGGCGUUUGGUUUGGUCGUAUGACCCUUGCACCUUAAUUUUACAAGUCAGUAUGCUCACAUGACCUAGCACACGAACGUGUGGCUCGGCCGUGUGACCUAAGUCAGUAAGCACCCUAAAUUAGACAUAGGUUGGGAUACGACUGUAUGCCCCACAUCGAAUACCCAAACGGCCUAAGACACGGGCGUGUGUCCCCUGCACCUAGGAAAACUUUUGAAGUUUUGUGAAAAAUUCUCUGAGUUCCCAAUUUAGUUCCGAUUCAUUUUAAGUGAGUAUUUUGGAUCUCGAUGACUCAUAUAAGGGACAAUAUGAGUGACUAUGGUUAGUUUCUGAUAUGUAUGUUAAUUAAUAUGAAAUGUUUGUAUUUGAUCUGAAAAGUUCGAUAAUGCUCCGUAACCUUGUUCCGGUGACGGAUAAAAGUUAGGGGUGUUGCAGAAAAAUCUUCUUCAGCUCCUUCUUCGUUGAAGGAACCUGAACUCGCCAAGUUCUCUACACUUGCCGAUACUUGGUGAGAAAAAAAUUUGGGAUUACUUCAAUUCUAUUCAACAAAGACUUUGAAAUGCUCUAAAAUGUUGCUUCUUUUUUUUUUUUUAACUUUUUUAUUAUGUGUAGGUGGGAUUCUGAAGGACCAUUUAAACCAUUGCAUAAAAUGAAUCCUACCAAGCUCGCUUUUUUACGCUCUACUCUUUGUCGACAUUUCUGGUAUAUAUCACUUGUGUUUCAAAAAGACAGAAUCUUUUACUAGCUGAACUUGUUUUGUAACUGUGUUUUGGAAUACUGAUUUCUGACAUUUAUGGAUUUUUCAAUUUAAUCCCUAACUGCAUUUGUUUGUGCAUGUUUGUUAUUGUAGAAAGGAUCCUCUCGCUGGCAGGCCCUUUAAAGGACUCAGGUUUAUCGAUGUCGGUUGCGGUGGUGGUAUUCUGUCAGAGGUAUUUACACAUGUCUGCCAUUGGAAUUCAUUUUUCUUAUAAUUAAUUUUCUUUCAUGCUUAACAUUAUUUAAUCUUGAAGAGCAUCAAUUUCUAGUUAGUCCCUGCCUUGUUCAUUGAAAAGCUCCAACGAGCACUCACAUAAAAUCUUGCUGGCAUUCUCGUUAAAAGACAUCUCUAUUUAUUACUUAAGAUUUCUUGAAAAUCUAGUGUUUAGUGCCUUUUUAUUGAAUGAGCUACUGUAAGCAAUUAAUCCUCUUUAGGCAUUUGACCGUUUUACAUUACUUCCAUUCAUUGGUAAUCUAGAUUUCAGGAAAUCUACGGGUUAGCAUAACCCUAUAACAAUAUGAUAUUAUGAGGUUCUCUAUUGUCUUUUAAAAUUUGCACUUGGUCAACUAUUGAGGAUCAAGAGGAGAUUGGGCAGAGAGCAGUGGAAAUGGUUGAUUGGCCAACUGAUUUGGGAAAAAUAGAAGGUUAGUACCCAAAUAAGCUAGUGAUCUUUUACUACGUGGAACCAAGGCAAGUUUUUCUUUUUCAAAUGUAAUUAUUCCUAUUAAAUUUAAAAAUGGCUGAAUAUAAUCCAAUUACAAAAACUAUAAAAACAACAUCUUUAUAGUAUUUGUCAUCCAACUCAACUAAGUUUAAAAACACUUUUUCUAUACAUACAUAAAUCAUCCAACAGAUGUGUAAUAUUUUGUAAUGUCAAGGUUCUCAUUACAGUCAAAUGAAGUCCAUGGUCAUUAAUUCCAUGCAAUAAAAGAUCAUGAGUGUAAUACCCAUUUUUGCCCGGCCCAUAAACCAAUCAUAAACCCAAUAAAAAAAUAGUCCAAUUACAAUUGAAGCCCAAUCACUAAAUCCAAUUACAAUACCCACAUAACCCAAUAUCCAGAAAACCCAAUCAGCCCAAGUCACUAACCCUAACCCAACACAAAAUAUUUUUCAGCCAACAGAAACCCUAGCAUCAGCCCUCCUUCCAGCACCGCAGCCAUCAGGGCCUCCCUCGCGCGUGAUGCGCCUCUGCGCGCGUGCACCUCCGUACGGCCAUACCUGCAGCAGACACAAACAAACAGCAACAGAAACAACCACGCAAAAAAGGAAAAUAACAGCAAGGAUAAAUUAGAAUUUUAUGAUUGUAUUUUUAAUUUUUAUUUGGAUCCGGCUAUAUAAAGCCGUGUUUGAAUCUGUAAAAGGGGUUCUUCCUCUACGCAAGAUCAAUUAAAAAAAAAGAAAUCAAAUACCAGUUUUGCUCGAAGGUAGUCUCUGAUUUAUUUUAGAUAGUUUCUUUUUUUUUCUUUUUUUUCCUCUCUUUUCUUUUUGAUUCGAAAGAAGAAGCGGAAUAAAGGAGGGAAAGUCUAAAAAGCUUACAUUUUUGCCAUCGUGACCAAGGUUCGCCGAUUCCCAUGAAAAUCAGCUCCUUUUUGCCUUAGAAUCAAAAAACGAGGGAAAAUAGAAAUUUUUUGGGUCUCCGGCGGUCGUCGACGCGAUCGUUUGGCGAGCUGGCCGGCCGGAUUCUGGGUUUUGAAGGAGAAAGAGAUAGAGGUUUCUCCGGGUUUUUUUUGGAAAAUAAAGGAAGAAAUGAAUUUUUUUUAAGAAAAAAUUUGGUAUUAUAGAGGACAUAAACGGCGCCGUUUUGAGCCUCAACCUCAAUGGCCAAAAACGACGUCGUUUGCCCAUAGCGACCCGCGCGGUGGCCCUACCCGGGGAGGAUCCGCGCAUUUUUGUUGCGUGGUCUAUUUGCGCCUUCGAUCCCUCCACUUUACUCCAUCUUUUUAAUUUCAUCUUUGUUUUUUUUUUGUAAUUUUCCCGCACAAAUUUUGAAUUUAUUUCAAUUCGGUCUUGAUUUAAAUGCUGCGUUUUGAGGGCACGGGAUUAUUUCCCUUUUUGGUCCCCAAUAUUACGCGCGUACUCUAAUACGGCCCUUAGACAUUUCUAAUUGCAUUUUCUUUCCCUUAAAUUUGGAUUUAACUUUAUAUUUAGUCCCCCUUGCGCUUUUUUAAAUUACUUAACUAUUUUUAUUAUUAUUGUUAUUAUUAUUAAUGUUACUAUAAUUAUUAGUAUUAUUAUUUGUAUUAGUUUAUGUGUUUAUUUAUUUAUGUACAUAUAUCAUUAUUUUGUUAUUUAUAUUAUUACUUUAAGUUUUGAAUUAUUAUCAUAUAUUAAUAGUUAGUUUCAUUACGUAUUUUUUUUAUGUAGUAUUAUUUUAUAUUAUAAAUAAAAUUGCAUUACCACUUUGGAUUUAUUAUACAUUUGUUUCAAAAUUUAUUGGGUAUUAUUGUUUAAUCUUCAUUAUAUAUUGUUAUUAUAAAUAUACGUACAUAUAUGUAUUAUUUAAUGUACUUUGAUUUAUUUUUACAUAAUACUUACUUUAAAAUUUAUUUGGACAUUAUUAUUUUAUGUAGUAUUUAUCUUUAACCGUAUUUUUAAUUUAUUUCAAAUUUUCAUUUAUGUAUUACUUAUUUUAAAUUUAUUUUAAUAUAUAAUUUCCUUUCUUUCAUAUUUUUUAGUCAUUUCAAACUUGUACAUUGGGUUGGUGUUUGUAUUAAUUCACUUGUUUCUUAGUAUUUUUUUUAUUACUAUUAGCCUUUAAAUGUUAAUGUUGAUAUUUACAUGUGAUGUGAAAUUAUUGUCUUUAUGCGUAUGGUAUUUGUUUAUUGGUAUUCAUUUAUUAUUAGUGUUUAUUAACUUAUAUUGCGGUUUAUGAAUUAUCGCCUCACGUCGUGCAUUGUUAUUCCAUUGUGCUUUAUUCGUUCAAAAAGUCGUGUUUAAUAUGGUUUAAUAUCAAAACCGAUUUAUUCAAAAACUUUCAAGAUAAUGCAAAGUUCGGUAUUUGGAAUCUUCGAAAGAAUUGAGCCCUAACAUAUUGGGUUCCAAUUUUCCUCGUUGAAUCUAAAUAAUCGAAGAUUUUCUUUAAUUAAAACAUAAAUAAAAAGCUCAUUCUCGGGAAUUCGAUACGUGGUGUCCUAACGCAUUGGAUGUUACAUAUUGUUUUCUCGAGAUGAGGAUUUUUCUAACAAAUGAAAAUAAUGGCAAUAUUCGAUAUUUAGGAAUUUUGUGAAAUCAAACCAUAACUUACUGGGUUUUGAUUUUAUCAUUUGACCCAAAUAAUCAAAUACCCUUCUUAAAAUGCAAAGGUUUUGAAAAUCGAGAGAUAGACUUAAUUUUGAGGAUUUAAAAUGUUGCACUCUAACUUAUUGAGUGCGACAAUUUAUUACUUUGAAAUAAGUGAGUCUCAUCAUCCAAUUUAUUUAUUCAAAUUUUCUUUUCAAAGGAUCGUAUUUUAAAAUCGUUUCAAAUUCUCGACACUAAGACAUUAAAUAAUCAGUUCGGUAACAAUUUUGGGCGUUACGAUGGUGCUAACCCUUCCUCGUGCGUAUUUUCUCAAGAUUUGUAGACCUAAAAUCGUUUUCAAGGUGAUCCGAUCACGCCUCAUUAAAGAUCGGUGGCGACUCCCAUUUUCGUUUCGUUUUCAAGUCGAUAACAAACUUUUUUAUUUUUCAAAAAAAAAGUGGUUUCGACAAUGAGCAUAUUUUUUUUACUCUUACUGAAGUCAGGUAUUUAGAUAUUAUCCCCAAAGAGGUGAUGACUUGGAAACCUCCUAUAUAUUUUCAGGUGUUAUCAGAAAAGACUAUUCUGUUUGUAGCUAUUAUAUUUGAUUUGGCUAUGUUAAGGUUGAAGAACGAUUGAUCUAAAUGCUUUUUCUUCAUUUUCCUUUUACAUUUAUCAUUCUUUUGAGGAGUUUGUGCAGAAUUUCUGAUAGUUAAAUCUACUUACGGAAACAUCAAGCAUCUGAAUAGGAAAAUAACCUUUUUAAAUUUCAUAUAUUUAUUGAUGGAUGCUAUGAUGCUUCAUUCUACUUUUGUUUGUUUUUUCUUUCUUUCCUUUUUCCCUUUUCCGUUUUUGCUUUUUUCUCCUAGUAGACAUUGAUACAAACUGCUAAAGUUAGAUCUGCUAUUUUGUUGGUAUCUAUAAUGUUCCUUUAUCCUCUCAGCCGCUGGCUCGAAUGGGAGCAACUGUCACUGGAAUUGAUGCAGUAGAGAAAAACAUCAAGAUUGCCCAUCUUCAUGCUGUAUGUUAGUUUCUUUUCAACCAUUUCAUGAUAUUUUGAUAGUGUUAUUUUUUGUACAUGCAAGUGUAGUCUUUCAUAAUUUUCUUAUUACUAGAAAUAUUCCAGUUUUUGCAGCAUUAUUUCUUCCAUUCAUGUUAGCCUGAGCAUGUCUACAUCUUAGGUUGACUUUAGUUAUAACUGCACAUGGGGUUGAAAGAAAAGAUUAUUAUUUGCUUAUUUAAUGAUAACUCUAUUUUAGGUCUAUGGUUUUGAAGAUAUUGUGUCGUCUCAAGGCUUUCUACUUGUCUUUGAAAGAAUAAGGUCAAACAAGAUUCUGUUAUUUAAUCAGGCAUGACUUUCUUUAUAUGAAAACUUCUUGAAAUGGAAAGCUCUUACCUGGUUCUACCGUGGCACAACUAGCUAGUUAGGUAGGUGAGUGGAUAUAUGUUGAGUAUUUUUCAUGUAAAGAAGUCUUCAAGUUUUAAGCAACAGGUUUAUACUCAAUAAUCAAAUCAUUCUAGCUUUUCCACAAUAUCUGAAACAUUUUCCAAGUUAUUUUCAAUUUAUAAAAUCAUCCUAAACAAAUUAAUGGUUUCCUACCUUGUCCAUCUGUGUCUUUCAUUCAUUCAUUCCUAUCAUUCAUUUAUUUUCGUUUGAAAUAAAUAUCCGGACCCAUCAUUUUAAAGCCUCCCUCUUCGAAAUGUUACUUCUUAAGCAAGCAGAGUGUGACUUGAGUUUUCUUUCCAGCAAUAAUUUGGCAUAUGUUAUCAUUUAUAUAUAUUUGCUUCCUGCUACAAAUUUUUUGAGAUGAAUCUUUUGUAUCUGAAUACUAUUGCACCAAAUUACAAGUCUAAAAGUUUACAGUUCUGAGUGCCUGUAACUCAUUCAUGUUAUUGUGUUUUAGACUUGAACUUGGAUUUUAUGAUAUACCUUCCUCUACAGAAUUUGGAUCCAACAACUUCAACUAUUGAAUACUGUUCUACAACAGCAGGUACAUUCUAAGCUUAAUUCUUCUGUAGGUUAAUCUCUCUGCUAAUCUAGAUCUAUAAUUAGUUAAAUGAGCGUUGCUUUCUGUUCUUUUUCAAACUUUUAAACCUUUUGAGAUGGUGACGUUUCUGGAUGAGUGGAAUGUGGAUGUGGAGGGCAUCAGGACAAAGUACUUGUUGGGCUGCUUCUCUGACACUGAAUCGGGUUGAAAUGUGAAUGAGAACAUGCAGCCAAAUUUAGUAGUAGUUCUCAUGCAAAUAAAAUCAUCAUGAUAGAACUGUCAUAUGUAAAAUUCUCUCAAAGUAGCCCUCUACUAGGAACUUGAUGUUUCGGAGCAGAUAACCUGGAAAAUUUACAACUGAAAAAAGGAUAAAUGCUAGCUGAGUUUUCUGUAGCCGGGUUUUUUUACUCAAAUUUACCAG
Molecule: long non-coding RNA, 42153 nt
Filed under: Gossypium raimondii (Peruvian cotton)
Lineage: Eukaryota; Viridiplantae; Streptophyta; Magnoliopsida; Malvales; Malvaceae
Description: long non-coding RNA (GRAI_LNC001638)
Source: RNAcentral